RNAcentral lists this ribosomal RNA (632 nucleotides) under Streptomyces lividans. RNAcentral describes it as "bacterial SSU rRNA". It matches the Rfam family "Bacterial small subunit ribosomal RNA", at positions 724 to 1350 of the family's 1533-position model. The record is from RNAcentral. Lineage: Bacteria; Bacillati; Actinomycetota; Actinomycetes; Kitasatosporales; Streptomycetaceae.
GAUCUCUGGGCCGAUACUGACGCUGAGGAGCGAAACGGUGGGGAGCGAACAGGAUUAGAUACCCUGGUAGUCCACGCCGUAAACGGUGGGCACUAGGUGUGGGCAACAUUCCACGUUGUCCGUGCCGCAGCUAACGCAUUAAGUUGCCCCGCCUGGGAGUACGGCCGCAAGGCUAAAACUCAAAGGAAUUGACGGGGGCCGCACAAGCGGCGGAGCAUGUGGCUUAAUUCGACGCAACGCGAAGAACCUUACCAAGGCUUGACAUACACCGGAAAGCAUCAGAGAUGGUGCCCCCCUUGUGGUCGGUGUACAGGUGGUGCAUGGCUGUCGUCAGCUCGUGUCGUGAGAUGUUGGGUUAAGUCCCGCAACGAGCGCAACCCUUGUCCCGUGUUGCCAGCAAGCCUUCGGGGUGUUGGGGACUCACGGGAGACCGCCGGGGUCAACUCGGAGGAAGGUGGGGACGACGUCAAGUCAUCAUGCCCCUUAUGUCUUGGGCUGCACACGUGCUACAAUGGCCGGUACAAUGAGCUCGGAUACCGCAAGGUGGAGCGAAUCUCAAAAAGCCGGUCUCAGUUCGGAUUGGGGUCUGCAACUCGACCCCAUGAAGUCGGAGUCGCUAGUAAUCGCAGAUC